Molecule: long non-coding RNA, 280 nt
Filed under: Carica papaya (papaya)
Lineage: Eukaryota; Viridiplantae; Streptophyta; Magnoliopsida; Brassicales; Caricaceae
Description: long non-coding RNA (CPAP_LNC012382)
Source: RNAcentral
ACCAUUCCUUGUGAAUGCAGGUACACGGAAAUGAGGAGAGGAAGGCCCCCACUAAAUCGAGCAGCUCAAGAUAAUUCGCUUCGGGAGGAUUUAGACAGAUUAUUUGAGAUGGUGGAAGCUCUCGUAGCUGCCCAGCAAAGGCGAGAGGAGAGAAGGGAGUUACCCGGACCUCCUCCGCUAUCGCAGGUUGAGCCCCCGCUACAGCAGGCUGAUCCCGAGCCACCCCGGCAGGAGCCUGCUCCUCCACAAUACCACCCGGCACCACAGCCGCGGUACGACC